Molecule: transfer RNA, 77 nt
Filed under: Pedosphaera sp.
Lineage: Bacteria; Pseudomonadati; Verrucomicrobiota; Pedosphaerae; Pedosphaerales; Pedosphaeraceae
Description: tRNA-Ala
Rfam family: tRNA
About the family: Transfer RNA (tRNA) molecules are approximately 80 nucleotides in length.
Source: RNAcentral
GGGGCUGUAGCUCAGUUGGCUAGAGCAUCUGCUUUGCAAGCAGAGGGUCAGGAGUUCGAGUCUCCUCAGCUCCACCA